GAUUUCUGGCGAACCGUUGCGGCCCGUGCCCGUUUCGGGCGUGUGUGCCGUGUCGUGUUGUCAUCCUUCCAGAAAACUGCGUCUACCAUUCACUUGGCCGGACGUACGCGAUCUGGAUCGAUUACUUUUGAAAAAAUUAGAGUGUUUACAUUAGCAUGGAAUAAUAAUUUAGGACUUCGGUUCUAUUUUGUUGGUUUCUAGGACUGAAGUGAUGAUUGAUAGGGACAGUUGGGGGUGCUAGUAUUCCGCGGCCAGAGGUGAAAUUCUUGGAUUCGCGGAAGACUAACUACUGCGAAAGCAUU
Molecule: ribosomal RNA, 302 nt
Filed under: uncultured Cercozoa
Lineage: Eukaryota; Cercozoa
Description: SSU rRNA
Rfam family: Eukaryotic small subunit ribosomal RNA (bases 111-302)
Source: RNAcentral